This 4648-nucleotide long non-coding RNA is filed under the name Brachypodium distachyon (stiff brome). RNAcentral describes it as "long non-coding RNA (BDIS_LNC002794)". Lineage: Eukaryota; Viridiplantae; Streptophyta; Magnoliopsida; Poales; Poaceae. The record is from RNAcentral.
UUCAGUGUAUGUAUAUAACUUUGCACAUUUUGUAAUUUUGAAUUUUAAGCACAACAGUAGCGUAGCAGUAUGGUAAUGCCAAAGCAUAUGCUCCAGUACUUUAUGCCGUUACCUCGCCGCGAAUAAGGUCGUUGAUUUUCAGUGAACCUUCCUUUGGCACUCGAAAACGGUAAGUAUAAGGUGUCCCUUUCUCUAACUCCUGUUGUACUUCUGCAUCUGAAGCAGUUGCCCACUUUCCCAUGUAUACAGGAGGAAGUUUCAUCCGAUUCGCAGUUUCCUUCAUUUUUUCAAGUUCCUGAAGUCAUAAUAGCAAUUGUCAAACUAGCUAAUAUUUGAUUAGUGAAUAUUACAGACAGGUCGGAUCAUGAGUCUACUUGAAACAACAUCCCUGAAUUGUUCAUUGGGUUUUAACCGACUCAUUUGACAUGGGUCAUUGUAGCAUUAGUCACAUUAAAAUUUUCACUAGGAGCACAAAAGCCCAAGCAUUUUACUCAAAAGCAAACAAGAGAAUACUAGUAUAGGAGAAUUUUACUAAGUUCCAUGCUAAUAAGAUGCAGAAAAAACAGCCUACAUCACAUAUACUUGAAACUGGAAUCAUGAAAAUCAUCUCUCGUUAUGCAGGCGGCAAACAUGGAGGUCAAAAGUGGGGAACGGGGUACCUCGCUGGAGCAGAAGCAGCGAUAAACUGCAUCAGACUCCAUCAACUUCUCGGCAUGCUGUUUGUAUAGUGAAUUGCGCUCCGACUGGCGGUAAGGGCCAAAUUCGCCGCCAACGUCCGGACCUAAACAGGUGAUAUAAAUGAGCACUGGCAUUCUCUAACAAUUCAUAGGCAGAAGAGUUAACUCUACUGAUUCAAUACUUCAACGGAAGUACAAAGCGGAAUGAAGCAACUCCACCAUUGCAAACUAUGCUCCGUAGUGGAACGGAACAACCCAACGCAGCAACAGAAAUCUGUCAUCAUCGGAAGCUGUAGAUUGACUCGGAAGAACGAACCAACGGUAAUUACCUUCGUCCCAGUCGAGGCCGAGCCAGGAGAGGUCGCUGAGGACGGCGUCCUCGGACUCCUUGGUGGAGCGCUGGAGGUCGGUGUCCUCGACGCGGAGCACGAACUUGCCGCCCCUGGAGCGCGCGAAGAGGUAGUUGAAGAGCGCGGUGCGGGCGCCCCCGACGUGGAGGUUGCCGGUCGGGGAAGGCGCGAAGCGGACGCGGACGGGCCCGCCGUCGUCGCCAGCGGAGGCGGAGGCGCGGACGGAGAGCGUGCGGCGGAGGAGGCGCUGCGCCGGCGCGGACGGGAGCAGCCUGAUGCGGAGCCACGGCGACCCCAUGAAGGUGCUCGCCGCCAUCUCCUCCGGUCGUCGCCUUCGAAAGCCCGGAAGUGGAUUGGAUUUGGAUUACGGCGACGAGGUUGGGCAAGAUAGGCUGGGCUGGCUUUGACUUUGGGGGCCCAAAGCCCAGUUCAUGAUUCACGACCGGGGUGUCUGGAUGACGCGUGGAGCCUACAUGGCAGGGAGCAGUUAGCUUUUUACUCUCUCUCUCUCUGUUGUUGACAAAAUCUACAGAGUGAACGCUUCCUCCCUGGUAUUCCUCAGUGAACAGCGCGAGAAGAUAGGAACAGGGUGCAACACACUUGUGGGGUGAGAGACAUUGUUGCGACACCCUUCUUCCUCUUGAGCCUAGGGGGAUGAUUGUCGAGGAUGAGCGACCGGCAACAAGGUGGAUCAAUGGACGGGGCGGCGAGAUGCGGCAUAACCGUGCAAGAUGUGGUCAAUGGAGCCGGCAAGCCGAGAUCAACGAUGAUGAACCAGCGGGGGUGGAGCAAAUGAAGAUGUAUCAUCACUCUUUUCAUAAUCACUUUUAGUGGGCGAAGGGUAACACAUUUUGUCCGUGCUAGCUCAAUUCUACAAAGAACGAUGUUUUUUUUAUAAAAAAGCACGCAUUUUAACAUCCGAACCGUUCACGACAAUCCAGAACCACGAGUCAACAACAACCCAUUAGACUUGUCAAAGAAAAAGCGAAAUGUAAUUAAACUCGUCAUCAUUUCCUCACUAAGUUCGUACUAAAUCAUUAACACUUAUUAUGCAUCGGAGCGAAUACAAAAGAAGUGCCGGUUCAAGUUUGAAAAUGCCGCAGUAGCAAACGGAGCCAUGCCUGAUUUACAUUACAAAUUCUACAAACGAAACGCUCAUGGAUGCUUUGCUAGCACAAUCAUCCCAAAAACCCAACAAAAUAUCUCCGACCAAAGAAUAUAGAAGCACGCAAGUUACAUAUGGGUGACGGGAAGAAUAUAAUCUAGCUCUCGGAUCGGGCACAUAUGCUCUGGGGAGAUGUAAAGCAAAAAAAGAAAAAUGGAAAGCUAAAAGCGAAAAAAUGGAAAAGGAAAACGAAUUUGUGUAUGUAUGGCUAUGGCCCUGUCUAUCGCAAUGUGGAAUAAAGAAGCGUCUAGAGUCUAAGCCUAGAUUAUGUGCCGCAUGCCGCACCUUGGACGGCGCGCAUCAUCCAUCUUUCUUGAUUGGUUCAACAGAAAAAAAGAAAGAAAGAAAAAUGCGUGACCAAAUGGAGACUGCCAUGGAGCUUGGGACUUGUCAAAAUCAAUUUUAGCUAGUGAAUCCAUUUUGUUUACUGAACUAUUUUUGACCGAUAACAAAGAUAUGAAGGCCUGUUCUGGUAAAAAAAAAAUAACACUCGGCGCCGGCUUCUUCAGAGCUGAGACCCAAAGACGCCGAAAAUCACUGUAUGGGGUUGGGCAGUAGAGGGGCAGAGUGGUAAAAAAAGGGACUGGUUUUUACCUCUGCUGUUGGAUGGAGAGCUACAGCAGCCUCGAGUGGCGUGUAGCAGCUGGUAGAGUGCCAUGUGGAGGCAAAGCACAGUGCGUGGAUAGGCACAAGAGCCAGGCGAGACGAGACACCGACAGAGCCAAGCAAUGCACAGUCACAGCAGCAGCAGCAGCACAAGAAGCAGAACAAGUCAUCAGUAAACUUUCGAGCACGAGAAAGAGCCGGCCACCUGACGAUGCUUCUCAGGCUUUUGUACUAGUACUACUACUAGAAAUAUUAUUGUUGAAAAUAAUAUAAGUAACCUAUACUCCAGACCUCCAGCAGUGCUAUCAGGAGGGUACCAGCAGCACCAGUCUGUUCCUUUUUUUUGUUUUCUCCAAUCCCAUCAACCAAACUGUACAGCACAUGUACGUUCAGUUCUAUCUAUCCAGACCAAGUGAUCAAAGAUUAAGAGUGAUAUACUAAUUAGUACAAGUAAGCAUGAAAACUUCACAGUUCAUGCUCACAGGUCUCUAGGGUCUAGCAUCCAAGAUUUAAGCAAGCAGAUGUCUGAACCAGUGUUAGUGAUACUCCAAAAGAGCACCAGACAGGGCAUGACACCCCAUGGUUGGGGAACUGACACCACUCGCGCGUGCCACACCGUCAGAGAUCAGAGCAAGGAAAAGGAUGGAGGUAAGUUAAAUACUACUGUAAGUACACACAGCAUGCAGUACAGUAACUUUCCGCUGCAAAAACAAAGAAAGGUAGUACAGCUACCUCUCAUUGUUCAGCCCAAACAAACAAAACUUUACUUUUGCAAUGCAGCUAAAGAAAGUGAUGACAUUGUACUGCUCUACAGUGGUAGGAGUAUUAGUUUACUACGAUUAACCCAAUCAGAACUCUGCAUAGUACUAAUUCACCUUUUGUACUGCAAGUAAAGCAGGUGACAGUGUGCAACAUAUAGUUAACUACUAGGAUUAACCAAAGCAAGAAGUUUGCAUAAACUUCAGCAGGUGACAGAGAGUGUGCUGCGGGAGCGGAUUAGUGUACUACGAUUAAACCCAAGCAUAACUUCACUUCUGCAUAGCAGAUGAAUCAUGAAUGCAUACUAGUACUAGCCAGGAUUAAUCAAUACUAACAGGGUACACUAAUCAUUGGGAUCUGACAAUAAAGAGAGAUAGAUCAUAGCGGACAAUAACCAACUUUUAAUUCUCGAUGGAACCAAAAAAGCGAGAGAUUGUUUUUGAAAUCUCCUCAUCACAUCACCACAGGCACAGGAAAAAUGAAUUACCAAUCCAUCAUGACGAUCAUAAAACAUUAACCAGAGUACUGAGACCAGACCCAAUUCAUAGCAAAAGCAUCACACGACGACGACGACGACCAACAGAAUCCAACGACGGGGAAGGGGAAGGGGGAGGGGAAAUAAACUGAGGGAAGCGGCUCAGGCAAGCCAAGCAAGCUAGCGCUCCAAAUUUAACAAUCCAGAUCCAUCGGCAAAACUAAGACCAAUAACUCCGACGGCCGGCCGGCUUUAAGAGGAGAGGUAUUUAGGCGGAGAUCUAUAUGGAGAUGGGGGAUAUAAUCGGGAGAUCGGGUGGUUGGUUGAACGAACUAACGAUCGAUCUCUCACUUGGUGCAGUCGCGGGCCAUGUGGCCGGGCUCGCCGCAGUUGUAGCAGUUGCCGCCGCCACCGCCGCCCCCACCGCCGAACCUCCCGCCGCCGCCACCGCCGCCGAAGCCGCCGUUGGUGGGGCAGUCCCUGGCGAGAUGUCCAGGCUCGCCGCAGUUGUAGCAGUUGCCGCCGCCGCCGCCGCCACCGCCGCUGCGGAAGCCGCCGCCGUUGGUGGGGCAGUCCCUGGCGAGAUGUCCAGGCUCGCCGCAGUUGUAGCAGGCAC